RNAcentral lists this long non-coding RNA (299 nucleotides) under Gossypium raimondii (Peruvian cotton). Its description in RNAcentral is "long non-coding RNA (GRAI_LNC010759)". The record is from RNAcentral. Lineage: Eukaryota; Viridiplantae; Streptophyta; Magnoliopsida; Malvales; Malvaceae.
CCAAACUUAAUAUGCCAUUGAAGUUCUAUUUCAAUAUUGUUUUUCAACUCCCUCUGAAAAGAGCAAUGCUUAUUACAAACUCUCUAGCAAUAAAUUAUGAAAAAGGAAAACAAAAAUUAAAAAAAAGAUUAAUAAUAUAAAUGGAGGUUUCCAUGGUUUUGAGGUGUUUACCUUUCCAAAUAGUGUAAUCUCACCUUGUAACACCCCAUACCCAGCCUGGUCGCCAAGCCCAAAUAUCAACGUGCCACACCACCGUCUCAUGUCAAAUACAACAAGUAAAAGCUCAUUCUCAACCAAAC